Long non-coding RNA from Salvia splendens (bonfire salvia), 255 nucleotides. RefSeq lists it as uncharacterized. NCBI's taxonomy places the organism in Eukaryota, Viridiplantae, Streptophyta, Magnoliopsida, Lamiales, Lamiaceae. The record is from RefSeq and is a predicted model, not a curated record. The transcript is spliced from 3 exons.
AUACCCGAACCAUUCCACAAAUUUUUAGCCUCCUUCCAAAUUCUGGGAAAAACAAAGAGAUAGCCAAAGGAGUGGAGCAGCCGUGAGUUUCCAGAUUUUGCUUCACAAAUUUUUGAUCCAUCAAACUAGAGGGUGAACUUUUGCACGUCGUUUGUGGUUGAAGCAGAAAGGGAUUGACGAGUCAAGCGUUUGAGGGAGUGAGUCUCUAUUCAGGCUAGUGUACACCUAUGGAGAUCGUGAGCCGUCUUUUGGGUC